UACGUAGGGACCAAGCGUUGUUCGGAUUUACUGGGCGUAAAGGGCGCGUAGGCGGCAUGACAAGUCACUUGUGAAAUCUCCGGGCUUAACUCGGAACGGCCAAGUGAUACUGUCAAGCUAGAGUGCAGAAAGGGCAAUCGGAAUUCUUGGUGUAGCGGUGAAAUGCGUAGAUAUCAAGAGGAACACCUGAGGCGAAGGCGGGCUGCUAGGCUGACACUGACGCUGACAGCGCGAAAGCCAGGGGAGCAAACGGG
RNAcentral lists this ribosomal RNA (254 nucleotides) under uncultured bacterium. Its description in RNAcentral is "partial 16S ribosomal RNA". It matches the Rfam family "Bacterial small subunit ribosomal RNA", at positions 524 to 776 of the family's 1533-position model. The record is from RNAcentral.